Molecule: ribosomal RNA, 253 nt
Filed under: uncultured bacterium
Lineage: Bacteria
Description: partial 16S ribosomal RNA
Rfam family: Bacterial small subunit ribosomal RNA
Source: RNAcentral
UACGUAGGGUGCAAGCGUUGUCCGGAAUUAUUGGGCGUAAGGAGCUCGUAGGCGGUCUGUCGCGUCGGCUGUGAAAACUCGGGGCUCAACUCCGAGCUUGCAGUCGAUACGGGCAGGCUAGAGUUCGGCAGGGGAGACUGGAAUUCCUGGUGUAGCGGUGAAAUGCGCAGAUAUCGAGAGGAACACCAGUGGCGAAGGCGGCGAUCUGGGUCGAUACUGACGCUGAGGUGCGAAAGCGUGGGGAGCAAACAGG